This 253-nucleotide ribosomal RNA is filed under the name uncultured bacterium. Its description in RNAcentral is "partial 16S ribosomal RNA". It matches the Rfam family "Bacterial small subunit ribosomal RNA", at positions 524 to 776 of the family's 1533-position model. The record is from RNAcentral.
UACGUAGGGUGCAAGCGUUAAUCGGAAUUACUGGGCGUAAAGCGUGCGCAGGCGGCUUUGCAAGACAGAUGUGAAAUCCCCGGGCUUAACCUGGGAACUGCAUUUGUGACUGCAGGGCUGGAGUGCGGCAGAGGGGGAUGGAAUUCCGCGUGUAGCAGUGAAAUGCGUAGAUAUGCGGAGGAACACCGAUGGCGAAGGCAAUCCCGUGGGCCUGAACUGACGCUCAUGCACGAAAGCGUGGGGAGCAAACAGG